Molecule: long non-coding RNA, 1609 nt
Filed under: Malus domestica (apple)
Lineage: Eukaryota; Viridiplantae; Streptophyta; Magnoliopsida; Rosales; Rosaceae
Description: long non-coding RNA (MDOM_LNC019755)
Source: RNAcentral
GAAGACAUACAUACAAGUAUGAAAAAUGUGAAAGAAUAUAUAAACACUCGGGAUUUGUCAUUAUUCCUCUACAAAUAGAUAAUUGUUACACUUAUAUUAUCAUUUAGAUUUUUAAAAUCCUUCAAACCCUCAUGAAUAAUGUUUUUUAUUUGAGGGCAAAAUUAAUAAUAAUUAAUGUAGAAGUGUAAAAAAUGUAAAAAUAUAUAUAUACAAUCACUCAUAUAUAAAAAAAAUGUAAAUGCUUUAAAUUAAAGAUCAAAUUUAUUCAUUACAUUCUUAUAGGGUCGAGGAGUGUAUAUGUACAAAAUCAUCAAAAUCGAAGCUAAAAUAACCGUUAAAUUGUGAUUUUUCGUUUAUAACCGUCGAAAACUUUUGUUCCGUUACGUAAUAUCUGAAUGUUUGUUUUUUACGAUUUUUUAAGUUUGCAAUCUCGGAAUGUGUACAAAUAAGUUUGAUGGUUGAAUUGUUGAAAAACGUUUCGUAUAAUGCAUAUUGCGUCAAAACGGUAUAUUAAACAAACACUUAGAGUUAAUAUUAUACUUCUAUUAAGUAUAAAAUAAGUUUUUGUGGUAUCCACUAGUGUAAAUACUUUAAAUUAAAGAUCAAAUUUAUUCAUUACAUUCUUAUAGGGCCAAGGAGUGUAUCUGUAAAAAAUCAUCAAAAUCGGAGCUAAAAUAACCGUUAAAUUGUGAUUUUUCAUUUAUAAUCGUCGAAAACUUUUGUUCCAUUACGUAAUAUCUGAAUGUUUGUUUUUUACGAUUUUUUACGUAUGCGAUCUUGGAAUGUGUACAAAUAAGUUUGACGGUUGGAUCGUUGAAAAAAGUUUUGUAGAAUGCAUAUUGCGUCAAAAUGAUAGAUUAAACAAACACUUGGAGUUAAUAUUAUACUUUUAUUAAGUAUAAAAUAAGUUUUUGUGGUAUCCACUAGUGUAAAUACUUUAAAUUAAAGAUCAAAUUUAUUCAUUACAUUCUUAUAUGGUCGAGGAGUGUAUCUGUACAAAAAUCAUCAAAAUCGGAGUUAAAAUAACCGUUAAAUUGUGAUUUUUCGUUUAUAACCGUUGAAAACUUUUGUUCCGUUACGUAAUCUCUGAAUGUUUAUUUUUUACGAUUUUUUACGUAUGCAAUCUCGAAAUGUGUACAAAUAAGUUUGAUGGUUGGAUGAUUAAAAAUAGUUUCGUAAAAUGCAUAUUGCGUCAAAAUAGUAGAUUAACCAAACACUUAAAGUUAAUAUUAUACUUCAAUUAAGUAUAAAAAAAGUUUUUGUGGUAUCCACUAGUGUACAUACUUUAAAUUAAAGAUCAAAUUUAUUUAUUACAUUCUUAUAGGGUCGAGGAGUGUGUCUAUAAAAAAUCAUCAAAAUCGGAACUCAAAUAACCGUUAAAUUGUGAUUUUUCGUUUAUAACCGUCGAAAACUUUGUUCCGUUACGUAAUAUCUGAAUGUUUGUUUUUUAUGAUUUUUUACGUAUGCGAUCUCGGAAUGUGUACAAAUAAGUUUGACGGUUGGAUCAUUGAAAAAAGUUUUGUACAAUUCAUAUUGCAUCAAAACAGUAGAUUAAACAAACACUUAGAGUUAAUAUUAUACUUCUAUUAAGUAUAAAAUAAGUUUUUGU